This is a long non-coding RNA of Triticum dicoccoides, 2967 nucleotides long. RefSeq lists it as uncharacterized. Lineage: Eukaryota; Viridiplantae; Streptophyta; Magnoliopsida; Poales; Poaceae. The record is from RefSeq and is a predicted model, not a curated record. The transcript has 3 exons.
GGUCAACGACUCAGCGUGCUACCCUUCCCAGCCAUAAAAAAAACCCAAAUUCUCGUUCUCCUCCCGUUCCUUUUUCACCGUUCCUUGCCUGAUCCAUGGAUUCAUCCAUCCACAUUAGUUGCUAGAUCCUGCCAAGGGAGGAGGACGGGGUGAGAAGGGGGAUUUGCGGCGGAGUGCGGUGGUUGCAUGCUCUCGGCGACGGCAGGUCCUCCAGCUCGACCACAUGUGCCUGCUGCUCGCCGCCGCCGUCAAUUGGAUGGCCGUGGAGUUGGGCCCCUUUGAACCUGAGCGGUUCCUCUCCUUCAGCGAGUGGCUGCACCAAAUCCAUUCACUGGCCUGCCCGUGCAUCACUAAAGCUGGGAAGGAGAUGCUCUUGAGGCCAGAUCGGACCGAGGCUGGGGCACGCGUUCCAGCUUCAGAUUCUGCGCCCCUAGCAGCGAGGUCAUGAGGCAAAGCGGUCGCAUGGGAGGCCACUGGAGAAUAUGAUAAAUCCGUUUUGCUGAGUGGCGUUGCUCUCCUGUUUGUGCCACUGGGCCGAGAGUUGUGCCGUCGGGUUCGACAGCCAUGUUCUUCAUAGUGUUCCUCGUCGUCUAUGGCAGAGUAGUAGGGAUGGAGAGACCACGGGUGGAGGCGUGUUGUGGGCUUGCUACUUCUGUCAGUUUCCACCUAUGUAAUGUGCUACAACUUUGCAACAUUACUACUUGUUGCACACCGGUUAAUUCGUCACAGGUAUGCUUCCUCCCUGUAGUUUGAUAAAAAGGUGUAUUCUUUCUAUUUGUUGUUACCAUAUAGUAUUAGCAAGUUAUAUUAAUGAUAUGUGUUUUUAAGACAAAAGAAAAAGGCUUGCAUUUAUUAACUGAAUUUGGUCCAUAUGUGUGAAUAUAUAUGCAAUAGAGUUUUCGCAUGUGUUGUAGGUGAUGCAUAUAACACUGGAGCUUUUUUCAUUGUUCUCCUCAACUGAAAAGGCUAGACAGAAGAGCUGUUACCAAGAACAUUAAACUCACUAAAGUGCAUGUCUGAAUUUACUAGACCUUCCAUAGUAACCAUGAAUGUAAUUAGAAAAUGCAUGCAGGGAUUAAAUAUGCAAAUUGUACAUUGAUGACCUAUGGAAAAUAUCUGAACCCGAAUGGAUGAACUGAUGAUUUAGAACAACUCUUACUAACCUUUCAAAUUUCAGAAUUUACGGGAAUCACUUGUCGCAUAUGUCAUCUUCUACAAAAAUACUCCGCGGACAACAAAAUAGCUACUGUUACUUUAGGACUACAAAAUAAUCUAUUAGACUCAUUUUGCAGCGAUAAGAAAUAGCAUAUAGCAUGUUGUACAGGAAAAAAUUGUGCAGUAGAAUUGUAGCGUUGCCUUUCACUUAUAUUAGACACUCAAAAACUAUACUUAUUGUCAUAGAAACAUAGACUGAUUGGAACAUAUCUAGUACUCCCUCUGUAAACUAAUAUAAGAGCAUUUAGAUCACUAAAGUAGUGUUCUAAACACUCUUAUAUUAGUUUACGGAGGGAGUAGAAUAUAGCCUUCAGGUGCAGAACUGAAAACAACAUGCAACAGUACGAUUGUCUCUGACCACCCGGAUAAAUGUAUAAUAGUCCUUCCAUAGUAACCACGAAUGUAAUUAGAAUUAUUUCAAAAAAAAUGAAUGUAAUUAGAAAAUGCAUGCAGGGAUCAAAUAUGCAAAUUGUACAUUGAUGACCUAUGGAAAAUAUCUUAACUCGAAUGGAUGAACUGAUUACUGAGAUCAACUCUUACUAACCAUUCAAAUUUCAGAAUUAAUGGAAAUAACUUGAAUUUAUAAGGAUUCACACACAUAUCAUCUUCUAGGAAAAAUCUGCACACAAUACAAUAGCUAUUGUUACUUAAUGACUACUAAAAUAAUCUAUUAUGCUCAUUUUUUAACGAUAAGAGUUGCAUAUAGCAUCUUGUAUAUCAUAACAAUUCUGCAAACAAUAGUAGCUGCUGUUACUAACACAUUGUAUAAUAUGUAAUCUGUUAUAUCCUGAAUUCAGGACCUUUACGCAUUAGUCCUAAGGAUAGCAGUUAGCUUGUAUACAUAAACUUAUCCUUUUUCAAACUGUAAAUCUAAUAUGCACAAUGAUCUGAGAAAAUACCAUUGGAUACAUAUGUCUUUAUACAUUUUGUCAAACACUUGGCAAGUAUGUCCAAAUUCUAACUAACUGUUAGACAGAGUAGGGCGAGGAGUUGAUUAAAUCUAGAAAGAGGAUAGGGCCAUGUUUCAAACAAUUCUGCUAUUACGCCAAGUAAUACCUGCAUCUGGAGUCGAAUUGUUUCUCUUUAUGCGACUUGUAAGUCACAUCCUUGGUGGUCAUCUUACUAUGCUUGUAGACCAUGCUGAUCUAUCCUCUUGCAGACAGUCCUACAUGCCUUGAUCGACCUGUGUAUGACACAACUCCAAGAUAGCACGAUAGCAUUCUUCCUACUUUGCGACAUGAUUCUUGUCAAGUGUUUCCUAUGGACAGGAACAGGAUGAUGAGACACGACUGGUUCCUCGGGAGGCGGAAUCUUCAACACCUAACCGAUUGAGGAGAAGAUCUUGUGGAGAGUGGACACAUAAUGCAUGGCUUCGAGGUUUUGGUGGCGCUGUAGGAUGUGGGCUGCAGCCACACAGGACAGGAUGAAUAGUGCGGCCCUAGAGUAGACCAUCAGAAACCCUAGAACUGGGCUACUCGAGAGGCAUAGUUUUGGGGUUUCGAUGGAUCUAUAGGAGGUGAGCUGCAGUUGCACAGGAGGAAUAGCUCGGCCCUAGGGCAGACCAUCAAAAACCCUAAAACAUGGACUGCUCGAGAGGCAUAUGGCUUUGAAGUUUCGGUAGAGCUGUAGGACGUGAAAUCAGAAUGAGCUUCUAGAGCGUACAUCUCUUUUUGUAUGCAACGUGUCAGGAUUUUUUUACCAUAUUGAUGCCCGUACUUGAACUUUUUUUUGAAGUGGCCCGUACGUGAACCU